GGAGAGUUGUCCGAGUGGCCUAAGGAGCUGGUCUCGAAAACCAGUGUACCUACCGGUACCUAGGGUUCGAAUCCCUAACUCUCCG
RNAcentral lists this transfer RNA (85 nucleotides) under Anaerotaenia torta. Its description in RNAcentral is "tRNA-Ser". It matches the Rfam family "tRNA". Rfam says of the family: Transfer RNA (tRNA) molecules are approximately 80 nucleotides in length. Their secondary structure includes four short double-helical elements and three loops (D, anti-codon, and T loops). The record is from RNAcentral. RNAcentral also lists the same sequence under 2 other names. Lineage: Bacteria; Bacillati; Bacillota; Clostridia; Lachnospirales; Lachnospiraceae.